Molecule: ribosomal RNA, 301 nt
Filed under: uncultured bacterium
Lineage: Bacteria
Description: partial 16S ribosomal RNA
Rfam family: Bacterial small subunit ribosomal RNA
Source: RNAcentral
CAGCAGCCGCGGUAAUACAGAGGGUGCAAGCGUUAAUCGGAAUUACUGGGCGUAAAGCGCGCGUAGGUGGUUCGCCAAGUUGGAUGUGAAAUCCCCGGGCUCAACCUGGGAACUGCAUCCAAAACUGGCGAGCUAGAGUAUGGUAGAGGGUGGUGGAAUUUCCUGUGUAGCGGUGAAAUGCGUAGAUAUAGGAAGGAACAUCUGUGGCGAAGGCGACUAUCUGGGCCAACACUGACACUGAGGCACGAAAGCGUGGGGAGCAAACAGGAUUAGAUACCCGGGUAGUCCCUGUCUCUUAUAC